ACAAUAUUGCCUCUCCUCACUGUUUCCCUCCUGGAUCACAAUUCAUAGGGAGAGGUAAACAAGAAAAAGGAGAGAGUGGGAAGGAGAAGAACUGCCAGUGGCUCAUCAGAUCCUGAGCAAGAUGGCAUUUGCAUCAGAGAAAGGCUUCCAAAAAAGAAGUAGAAAGGAGAUGCAAUGGGAACAAGAGGAGGAGUUGAGAAAGAAAUAUGGCAUCUUUAAAGAUAUGAGAGUCUGUCUCCAGAGGCUGAAUCCAAUAUCGCCUAAAGAGAAUUCUGGCAAUGUUUCUGGCCUGGGACAGUCCAGAAGAAGAAAGGUCCUGCAUGUGUCUAAGAAAGGCUUGCAAAAAAGAAGUGGACAGGAGAUACAAUGGGAACAGGAGGAGGUGUCAAGGAAGAAAUGUGGCAUCCUGAAAGAUGUGAGAGUCUGUCUCAGGAGGAUGAAUCCAAUAGAGUCUAAAGAGACUUCUGGCAAAGCUACUGUCCUUGGAAAGGUGGCAACUACCAGAAAAGAGUAGAAGAGAAAGAUGGCAAAGGAAGUGACUUGUUUGAUGGAAUAAAGGGAUGAAACAAAGGAAGAGUAGCAAAGUGUUCAUAAUAAAUAGAAGGCAAAUAGCCUGAAAAAACCUGUAAAAAGUUUAAAAGCGUGCUGAAUAUGGUGGCA
Gavialis gangeticus (Gharial) is the source of this 660-nucleotide long non-coding RNA. RefSeq lists it as uncharacterized. The transcript is spliced from 4 exons. Lineage: Eukaryota; Metazoa; Chordata; Crocodylia; Gavialidae. The record is from RefSeq and is a predicted model, not a curated record.